GGGGGAGUGUCAUUAUUGCCCCCGUGGUUCUACUGGCUCUGGUGGAAGGCUACUCGCUCUGAAAGGAGGGAUGCGAGGAGGAGAGGUCAGGCGGAAAAAGAGGAACCCGGUGGAUGUCCGUGGAUAGCAAAACCCCUCAGGCUCCCUGACAGACUGAUAUGUCAUUGGACCAAUGGGGUGUUGAUAAUGCAGGCGCAGAGGUUGGCCAGGUGAGAUGUAAGACCCGCCCACUGUGUGUCCUACUUCACCUGCAGAGGAACAGGAAUCUGUAGAAAAAAAGACCCCAACAAUUUUGCUGAAACAAAUCAACUGAAGUGAUUUUAACAAAAUGGCGGAAAAUUGAACAAAUGGGUACUGGUAGUGAAUGCCACUACAAACCACCUCAGCCUUCCCCUUGAGAGAGGAUUGCAUCUCCUGCUGAUUUCUUGACAUCUGGCAGAUUAUUUUCUUAGAUCUCAUGUAUUUGGUACAUUGCAAUCAACCCCAGGUCUCCUGCUGACUCACCAACCCAUUAGACCAAGAGGACUUCCAGGUCUCCUGCUGACUCACCAACCCAUUAGACCAAGAGGACAUCCAUGUCUCCUGCUGACUCACCAACCCAUUAGACCAAGAGGACAUCCAUGUCUCCUGCUGACUCACCAACCCAUUAGACCAAGAGGACAUCCAUGUCUCCUGCUGACUCACCAACCCAUUAGACCAAGAGGACAUCCUGGUCUCCUGUUGACUCACCAACCCAUUAG
Long non-coding RNA from Oncorhynchus tshawytscha (Chinook salmon), 740 nucleotides. The record is from Ensembl. Lineage: Eukaryota; Metazoa; Chordata; Actinopteri; Salmoniformes; Salmonidae.